AGGUCAGUAGGUUGGUCGUGCCACCGGUACGUACUGGUCUCACUGAUUCCUCCUUCCUGAAGAACCGUAAUGCCAUUAAUUUGGUGCUGCGGGGAAACAGGACUGUUACUUUGAAAAAAUUAGAGUGUUUAAAGCAAGCUAACGCUUGAAUACAUUAGCAUGGAAUAAUGAAAUAGGACGAUCGAUCCUAUUUUGUUGGUUUCUAGGAUUGACGUA
This 216-nucleotide ribosomal RNA is filed under the name Glomeromycotina sp. Its description in RNAcentral is "partial small subunit ribosomal RNA". The stretch from base 40 to 216 matches the Rfam family "Eukaryotic small subunit ribosomal RNA", at positions 686 to 864 of the family's 1831-position model. Lineage: Eukaryota; Fungi; Glomeromycota. The record is from RNAcentral.